Molecule: long non-coding RNA, 996 nt
Organism: Clarias gariepinus (North African catfish)
Lineage: Eukaryota; Metazoa; Chordata; Actinopteri; Siluriformes; Clariidae
Exons: 2
Source: RefSeq, a predicted model, not a curated record
UUCCAAAUUCGCGCUGAAGGUCAGAUUCAAGAUUUACUUUCGAAAAGUUAGCAAUGAUCAAUCAAUACUUUCACAAAUGCUGUACAGAAAUAAAUGUAAUAAAAACUGAACGUUUGCAACUAGUUGCUCAGUGAGACUUUGAUCCAGUACACUGAUAUUGACAUGGUACAUUUAAAUAAUACAUAGAACAGCAGUCUAAACUUUUGUGAAGCAUAGAGUACUUUUCAUCAUAUUUCUGUCAGUGACAAACUUUACUUAAGUGCACAGAAAUAAAUACACUUCACAAUAGGUGGAAUUUAAAGUUUUCUAACAGAGUACACUCUAGGGCGCACUGUAGGGGCACAACUUAGGGCGUUUUCUCACUGGAAACGAUAGUUCCGUUCCGUUCCCGAGUACGAUUUCUCCCCCUCCCUAAUCCCCCGGCAGGUGCACAUCGUAACAUCGGUUCCGAUCCCGGGCUCACAUGCGUAUUUACACAACCGGAAACAGUAGGUGGCGGUAGAGAGGUAGUUUGUUUCUCUGCUGUCCAAAAUGAGAAAGAAGAAGAAACCGUGCGUCAUAAACUAAUUACACCUGUUUAUGCUCUAAAUGGAUGUUGUUGUUUUUUUUUUGACAAAAUCAACGGCGCUGUGAACAACAUUCCUACUGACACAUCUAUCGCGCGGCUCAGAGGGUUUAAUGAGCGCGCGCUGCGCGGAUACGGCACGAGGAAUGAUUGUAAAACUACCCUGUAAGGAUCAUCUGGGUUCAAGGGAGGUCUGGUGUGUGAUGGAAGCAUGUCCUUGUGACCAGGAAUGGCUGCCAAAUCUUUCUACCAAGAAGACAACAUUCCUAUAAGAGAAAUGCUUGUGCUCUUUUUGCCUUACAUUGUGUAGUUUUUCAAACUUAGUUAAUGUGCUGAAACUAUUGAACCUGAAACCUUACCAUGCAUCAAUGUUUUGUGUGCAGUCUGUUUAUACUGUAUUUUUGAAAAUAAAUGUAUUCUGUAAAAUCCAA